This 466-nucleotide ribosomal RNA is filed under the name Fusarium oxysporum f. sp. ciceris. Its description in RNAcentral is "eukaryotic LSU rRNA". The stretch from base 138 to 291 matches the Rfam family "5.8S ribosomal RNA". Lineage: Eukaryota; Fungi; Ascomycota; Sordariomycetes; Hypocreales; Nectriaceae. The record is from RNAcentral.
ACUCCCAAACCCCUGUGAACAUACCACUUGUUGCCUCGGCGGAUCAGCCCGCUCCCGGUAAAACGGGACGGCCCGCCAGAGGACCCCUAAACUCUGUUUCUAUAUGUAACUUCUGAGUAAAACCAUAAAUAAAUCAAAACUUUCAACAACGGAUCUCUUGGUUCUGGCAUCGAUGAAGAACGCAGCAAAAUGCGAUAAGUAAUGUGAAUUGCAGAAUUCAGUGAAUCAUCGAAUCUUUGAACGCACAUUGCGCCCGCCAGUAUUCUGGCGGGCAUGCCUGUUCGAGCGUCAUUUCAACCCUCAAGCACAGCUUGGUGUUGGGACUCGCGUUAAUUCGCGUUCCUCAAAUUGAUUGGCGGUCACGUCGAGCUUCCAUAGCGUAGUAGUAAAACCCUCGUUACUGGUAAUCGUCGCGGCCACGCCGUUAAACCCCAACUUCUGAAUGUUGACCUCGGAUCAGGUAGGA